RNAcentral lists this ribosomal RNA (463 nucleotides) under uncultured Leptolyngbya sp. RNAcentral describes it as "bacterial SSU rRNA". It matches the Rfam family "Bacterial small subunit ribosomal RNA", at positions 20 to 524 of the family's 1533-position model. Lineage: Bacteria; Bacillati; Cyanobacteriota; Cyanophyceae; Leptolyngbyales; Leptolyngbyaceae. The record is from RNAcentral.
UGGCUCAGGAUGAACGCUGGCGGUAUGCUUAACACAUGCAAGUCGAACGGGAUGCUUUCGGGCAUCUAGUGGCGGACGGGUGAGUAACGCGUGAGAACAUGCCCAUAGGACUGGGACAACAGUUGGAAACGACUGCUAAUACCGGAUGAACCGAGAGGUAAAAGAUUAAUCGCCUAUGGAUUGGCUCGCGUCAGAUUAGCUAGUUGGUGGAGUAAUGGUUCACCAAGGCGACGAUCUGUACUUGGUCUGAGAGGAUGGCCAGGCACACUGGAACUGAGACACGGUCCAGACUCCUACGGGAGGCAGCAGUGGGGAAUUUUCCGCAAUGGGCGCAAGCCUGACGGAGCAAUACCGCGUGAGGGAGGACGGCUUUUGGGUUGUAAACCUCUUUUAUCAGGGAAGAAGGACUGACGGUACCUGAUGAAUCAGCAUCGGCUAACUCCGUGCCAGCAGCCGCCGUAAG